This 253-nucleotide ribosomal RNA is filed under the name uncultured bacterium. RNAcentral's name for it is "partial 16S ribosomal RNA". It matches the Rfam family "Bacterial small subunit ribosomal RNA", at positions 524 to 776 of the family's 1533-position model. The record is from RNAcentral.
UACGGGGGGAGCAAGCGUUGUUCGGAUUUACUGGGCGUAAAGGGUGCGUAGGUGGCGCCGUAAGUCGGGUGUGAAAUUUCGGAGCUUAACUCCGAAACUGCAUUCGAUACUGCGGUGCUUGAGGACUGGAGAGGAGACUGGAAUUUACGGUGUAGCAGUGAAAUGCGUAGAGAUCGUAAGGAAGACCAGUGGCGAAGGCGGGUCUCUGGACAGUUCCUGACACUGAGGCACGAAGGCCAGGGGAGCAAACGGG